AAAGAGAUGUAGAGGAGAAGAAGAAGGAGGAGCAGAGAGGUUCGGCCAAAAUGAAAAAACGAGAUGCAGAGAGGAAGAAAGAGAUGGAGAGAGAAGAAAAAGUCAAAAAAAUAUAAAAAAAUCUUACUUUAAAAAAUAUAUAUAUAUAUAUAUAUAUAUUCCUAGUCCAAUCAAACAUACACCAAACGCGGUACAAGUGUUAUCCAGCUUAUGCCAGGCCAAGCCAAUCCAAGACAGUAUCAAUACUUAAUCCAAUCCAUGACAGUCCCCCGUACCAAACGACCCCUAAGGGUCCAAGAGAUUUGUGGUCACUUACCGUUAUAUGUAAAUUCAACUGUUCACUCACUCUUGCACUCUUUUUAAGAAACUUUUUUGAACUAUUGGAUUAACAUCCAACGGUGGGUGACCACAAUAUCUUGAACUCCU
RNAcentral lists this long non-coding RNA (426 nucleotides) under Prunus persica (peach). Its description in RNAcentral is "long non-coding RNA (PPER_LNC001905)". The record is from RNAcentral. Lineage: Eukaryota; Viridiplantae; Streptophyta; Magnoliopsida; Rosales; Rosaceae.